CAAUGAGUACCAGGAAGUGAGACAGACUCCAAAACCAGAGGAAAGAUUAUGGCCCUUCUCCCUCCUGGCUGGAUAUGUUGCUGAGGCAUAUUCCUAUCCCUUCUUCAUGUCUACAGCAUGGAAUGUCCUCUCUUUGAUGUUGUAAAGAUCAGGAGGUUCCCUGGUCCAGGCAGCAUCGCUAAGUCAGCAAUCGUCAAUGUCAGCCAAUGUGGGAGACAUGGUCAGGAUCACCUGCUCAGGGGUUAGCUAUGGCACCUGUGGCUGGUAUCAGCAGAAGGUCCCUGGCACUGGCCCUGUCACUGUGAUCUAC
This is a non-coding RNA of Cyanistes caeruleus (blue tit), 310 nucleotides long. NCBI's taxonomy places the organism in Eukaryota, Metazoa, Chordata, Aves, Passeriformes, Paridae. The record is from RefSeq and is a predicted model, not a curated record.